UGAGUACGAGAUGCUACGGCAUCGAAGCAGUCUAUGUCAUACUUCCAAGAAAAGCUUGCACUGUCAUAAACAAAGAAUGCCUGUACCAUAACCGACACAGGUGGGUAGGUAGAGUAUACUAAGGGGCGCGAGAUAACUCUCUCUAAGGAACUCGGCAAAAUGACUCCGUAACUUCGGGAGAAGGAGUGCCUUAUUUCUAAGGUUGCAAUAACAAGGUCCAAGCAACUGUUUACCAAAAACACAGGUCUCCGCUAAGUCGUAAGACGAUGUAUGGGGGCUGACGCCUGCCCAGUGCCAGAAGGUUAAAGAAGUUGGUUAGCAUUAGCGAAGCUGAUAACUGAAGCCCUGGUGAACGGCGGCCGUAACUAUAGCGGUCCUAAGGUAGCGAAAUUCCUUGUCGGGUAAGCUCCGACCCGCACGAAAGGCGUAAUGAUUUGGAUACUGUCUCGGAGAGGGGCUCGGUGAAAUAGACUUGUCUGUGAAGAUGCGGACUACCUGCACCUGGACAGAAAGACCCUAUGAAGCUUUACUGUAACUUGAGAUUGAAAUUGGACUUUAUUUGCGCAGUAUAGGUGGGAGGCGUUGAGAAUAAUCUUGCGGGAUUGUUGGAGCCAUCAGUGAGAUACCACUCUUGUAAUGUUAGAUUUCUAACUUUGUAUCAUUAUCUGGUCAAAGGACAGUUUCAGGCGGGCAGUUUGACUGGGCGGUCGCCUCCUAAAGAGUAACGGAGGCGCACAAAGGUUUCCUCUGAACGGGUAGAAAUCGUAUCUAGAGUGUAAAGGCAUAAGGAAGCUUGACUGUGAGACCUACAAGUCGAGCAGGGACGAAAGUCGGUCUUAGUGAUCUGACGGUGCUGAGUGGAAAGGCCGUCACUCAACGGAUAAAAGUUACUCUAAGGAUAACAGGCUGAUCUCCCCCAAGAGUUCACAUCGACGGGGAGGUUUGGCACCUCGAUGUCGGCUCAUCGCAUCCUGGGGCGGUAGUCCGUCCCAAGGGUUGGGCUGUUCGCCCAUGAAAGCGAUACGCGAGCUGGGUUCAGAACGUCGUGAGACAGUUCGGUCCAUAUCCGGUGUAGGCGUUAGAAUAUUGAGAGGAGCCUUCUCUAGUACGAGAGGACCGAGAAGGACAUACCUCUGGUGUACCAGUUAUCGUGCCAACGGUAAACGCUGGGUAGCUAUGUAUGGAGUGGAUAACCGCUGAAAGCAUCUAAGUGGGAAGCCCACCUCAAGAUAAGUAUUCUCA
This 1242-nucleotide ribosomal RNA is filed under the name metagenome. RNAcentral's name for it is "bacterial LSU rRNA". It matches the Rfam family "Bacterial large subunit ribosomal RNA", at positions 1564 to 2816 of the family's 2925-position model. The record is from RNAcentral.